GACGUAGGGCGCGAGCGUUGUCCGGAAUUAUUGGGCGUAAAGAGCUCGUAGGCGGCUUGUUGCGUCUGCCGUGAAAAUUCACAGCUUAACUGUGGACGUGCGGUGGAUACGGGCAGGCUUGAGCUCGGUAGGGGAGACUGGAAUUCCUGGUGUAGCGGUGAAAUGCGCAGAUAUCAGGAGGAACACCGGUGGCGAAGGCGGGUCUCUGGGCCGAUACUGACGCUGAGGAGCGAAAGCGUGGGGAGCGAACAGG
RNAcentral lists this ribosomal RNA (253 nucleotides) under uncultured bacterium. Its description in RNAcentral is "partial 16S ribosomal RNA". It matches the Rfam family "Bacterial small subunit ribosomal RNA", at positions 524 to 776 of the family's 1533-position model. The record is from RNAcentral.